UUCCACAUGGUCCAACAGUUAGGAUUCCUGGCUUUCACUCAGGUGGCGUGGGUUUGACUCCUGGUGUGGGAA
Ovis aries (sheep) is the source of this 72-nucleotide transfer RNA. It matches the Rfam family "tRNA". Rfam says of the family: Transfer RNA (tRNA) molecules are approximately 80 nucleotides in length. Their secondary structure includes four short double-helical elements and three loops (D, anti-codon, and T loops). Further hydrogen bonds mediate the characteristic L-shaped molecular structure. tRNAs have two regions of fundamental functional importance: the anti-codon, which is responsible for specific mRNA codon recognition, and the 3' end, to which the tRNAs corresponding amino acid is attached (by aminoacyl-tRNA synthetases). tRNAs cope with the degeneracy of the genetic code in two manners: having more than one tRNA (with a specific anti-codon) for a particular amino acid; and 'wobble' base-pairing, i.e. permitting non-standard base-pairing at the 3rd anti-codon position. The record is from Rfam. NCBI's taxonomy places the organism in Eukaryota, Metazoa, Chordata, Mammalia, Artiodactyla, Bovidae.